CAUGUUAAAUGGAGACAGGAGCAGCUAAAUCAUCUUAAAGGUAAGUCAUUCAGGGUUUUUUCCUGCAUAUGUAACGGAGUUAAAAUAUAAUAUGAUCCCACUUGCCAUUAUCACCCAUCACGUAUCACUGUAGCUUAAUUUUACUAUGGUCACUAAACACAACAUACCUGUGGACUUGGGUCGUGCACCCUGGGGGUAGCCUACAGCAGUCAGACCUUGCUGUCCCCUUGCCCCAAUAAAACAACUCUAAAUUUGACACAGUGCCCUCUCAAGCAACCACUACAGCAAGCUGUGUCACAAGCAAAGCUGGCAAUUCAGCCUCCACCGGAAAAGUUCUCCUGCUACAGCAUUUGAUUUGAAUGGCUAAUGUAAGAAUAUCAGUAGAGAGGAAGCUCAAAAGGACCAGGCUGAGCAAGUCCUGAGGAUCUGUGUCUUCCACACAAGUGAAGAAGAUGAAGUUCCAUCCGAAACUGAUGUGUCGAUUGUUAUUGAAUGGCUUGAGGUACUUGACAACUGUGGAAGUGUUGCAAAAGACUCUCCUGCUCGUAGGCAUCAUUUAUGCCAUGAACUUGAAAAACAAAGUACACUUUUGAAAAUUUUAAAAGCUAAACAAAGCUUAUAACUUGAAUGCACGUGUUUGACCCAUGAGUUGUCAUUUCCAAGAGGGCGCUAAAAGAAAAAUAUGGCACAGUUGUUUAUGUGGCUAUUUGUCUAUUUUCUUAUUUUUCUCUUGUUUUAAUGAUGUAGUUUUUAUUUUAACUUGUUGCACUGUAUUAAACAUGUGGCCAUAUAGAGUGGCUAAGUUGUGGGGACAAAAGAAAAGAAGUUAGAUCAGCAUUUUCAAGUCAAACCAGAGGUUCUCAACUGGUGGGUCGUGGGGCCAUUUUCAAUGGGUCACAGAUGUGAGUGUGGGCAUGAAAAUUGCAAGGGGCGAAAUAUCCCACUUUUUAUUGUUAAGAUGCUCUGCUUUUUGUAGGAUAUUACUCAUGAUACAUGUUUAGAACCUCAGGGCAAAACACUGUUCUUUAAGAUGCAAUGUUUAAAGAUGAAACCAAUAAUAAGCAUGUCUUUUAAGAUGCACUGAAGGUUCCUGAAGCAUGUUAAUUUUUUUUUUAGAGUUUAAGGUUAAAAAGCCUAUCCAAAAGAUAGGUUACGUACUGUAUGCUCUAUGCCAACAGUUCCUGAACUUUUCCUUGUGCCUUUAACAAGCUAACUCAAACCUAUUUUAGCCACCCUAAGAUGACAUUUCUGUCAUCUACUCACCCUGAUGCCAAUGUUGGACCUGGCAAGCCAGAUCGCUGGUGAGGAGGUGCCCCUUAGCCCUAAAUUAUGCAUACUAAAUCUCUACCCAGACAGCUUUACAACCUCUAACAAAGUUAGGUCUCCACUGAAUAUUUGUUUUUUUAGAAGCCAAACGAUGCUUUGCUUGCUCUUGGAAAUCAGACACGCCUUGUGGCACAUUGCAAUGGUUGAGGGGAAUUACUUUUUACUUAGCUCUAGAAAAGAUAAGUUAUACAACAAAAAAAUCUGGAGCGUUUUCUUCAAUUUUCUUGAGAAUAACAUUAUGGAUGUGGAUGGUUGGAGUGAACUUGCUGGAACAAGCCUUUUUUUUUUUUUUU
This is a long non-coding RNA of Perca flavescens (yellow perch), 1619 nucleotides long. RefSeq lists it as uncharacterized. The record is from RefSeq and is a predicted model, not a curated record. The transcript has 4 exons. Lineage: Eukaryota; Metazoa; Chordata; Actinopteri; Perciformes; Percidae.